UACGUAGGGUGCAAGCGUUGUCCGGAAUUACUGGGCGUAAAGCGUGCGCAGGCGGUUAUGCAAGACAGAUGUGAAAUCCCCGGGCUCAACCUGGGAACUGCAUUUGUGACUGCAUGGCUAGAGUACGGUAGAGGGGGAUGGAAUUCCGCGUGUAGCAGUGAAAUGCGUAGAUAUGCGGAGGAACACCGAUGGCGAAGGCAAUCCCCUGGACCUGUACUGACGCUCAUGCACGAAAGCGUGGGGAGCAAACAGG
This 253-nucleotide ribosomal RNA is filed under the name uncultured bacterium. RNAcentral describes it as "partial 16S ribosomal RNA". It matches the Rfam family "Bacterial small subunit ribosomal RNA", at positions 524 to 776 of the family's 1533-position model. The record is from RNAcentral.